This 750-nucleotide ribosomal RNA is filed under the name uncultured bacterium. RNAcentral describes it as "bacterial SSU rRNA". It matches the Rfam family "Bacterial small subunit ribosomal RNA", at positions 77 to 802 of the family's 1533-position model. The record is from RNAcentral.
GGUUUUUUCUUAAGCGGAGUGGCGGACGGGUGGGUAACACGUGGGGAACCUAUCUAUCAGCGGGGGAUAACACUUGGAAACAGGUGCUAAUACCGCAUAUGGCUUUUUUUCACCUGAAAGAAAGCUCAAAGGCGCUUUACAGCGUCACUGAUGGCUGGUCCCGCGGUGCAUUAGCCAGUUGGUGAGGUAACGGCUCACCAAAGCAACGAUGCAUAGCCGACCUGAGAGGGUGAUCGGCCACACUGGGACUGAGACACGGCCCAGACUCCUACGGGAGGCAGCAGUAGGGAAUCUUCGGCAAUGGACGCAAGUCUGACCGAGCAACGCCGCGUGAGUGAAGAAGGUUUUCGGAUCGUAAAGCUCUGUUGUCAGCAAAGAACAGGAGAAAGAGGAAAUGCUUUUUCUAUGACGGUAGCUGACCAGAAAGCCACGGCUAACUACGUGCCAGCAGCCGCGGUAAUACGUAGGUGGCAAGCGUUGUCCGGAUUUAUUGGGCGUAAAGCGAGCGCAGGCGGUGAUUUAAGUCUGAUGUUGAAAGCCCCCAGGCUCAACUGGGGGAGGGUCAUUGGGAAACUGGGAUCACAUUGAGUGCAGAAGAGGGAGAGUGGAAAUUCCAUGURGUAGCGRUGAAAUGCGUAGAUAUAUGGAGGAACACCAUUGGCAAAGGCGGCUCUCUGGUCUGUAACUGACGCUGAGACUUCAAACUCGUAGCAAACAAACAGGAUUAAUAUACCCUGAUAGUCCUCGCCC